This 672-nucleotide unclassified non-coding RNA is filed under the name Hevea brasiliensis (rubber tree). Lineage: Eukaryota; Viridiplantae; Streptophyta; Magnoliopsida; Malpighiales; Euphorbiaceae. The record is from RNAcentral.
GCCGUUAUAUAAUGUAACACUGUUAAAUGCACGUUUUGAAGUUUCCCAUCACUGUAGCCCUACCCCCUUCUCUUGAAAGCCUAGCCUUAGUAGUCUAUUGGUUGUGAAGCACAAAAGCUGCAAUUUGCCUGUUGCAUGCUACUCUCUCUUUUAGCAUUGAACAUGGAAUCUAGGUGAGGAGAAAACAUAUAACGAGUCUUUGAGAUUUCCUUUAUUGAAACAGUUUUUCCACUAAGAAGUCCCCAGUUCCCUCUUAAUACUUUGUACUAGUAUACUUGAAUGCUAAAUAAACUGCAAAUAUGGACCAUCAGAAACUUUCAUUGGUGCUUGGUGCAAUUUGAGCCCUUGCCUUCUGCAGGUAAGAGUAUACACUGUUCUCUAAGUCUACGGUUCCCACUAACAAUGGUUCCUUCUGCUUUCCCUCUUCGAUCUCCCGAAAUAACUUCCACAGUGACUUUUCAGAAGAUUCUGGUUGUUGAUACUUUUAAGGGAAGUUAUUGCAACUAAUGUAGCACGUGUAAAUUGAGAUGGAAAAUCUGUGGACUCUUUUUUAUUGUUACUGGAUUGGGUUCUACUGGAUCUAAAUCAUCAGCAGCGUCUCCAAGCAUGUUAAUAAAUACUCCUAGUCAUCCUGCCCAAGGGACCUCUCAGUUUUGCUUUAUUGAUUUAUUU